Molecule: non-coding RNA, 29 nt
Filed under: Rattus norvegicus (Norway rat)
Lineage: Eukaryota; Metazoa; Chordata; Mammalia; Rodentia; Muridae
Source: RNAcentral
UAAGGGUGAAGUUCAAGGCUUUCAGACUC